UAGUACGUGGCCACAGUCACGUGUUCCAAAAUGAAGAGAUGGGAUGGUCGCAGGCUUUGGAGGUUGUGAGCGAUGCGAAAUGGGGAUCCUCUUCUAAACGACCAGACUGGAGACGAAGACCUGAACACGAAUCCUCUAACCUGAGAACAUCACGAGAGAGAGCUCCUCCUUCAACUCCGUCACCAGGCUGAACAGACCCUCAUUGACCCCUGACCUCUGACCUGUGAUGCCAUCCCCAGGGUCACCCUCAUUCCAGUCAGCGCUGCUCACACACAGCUCUAGAGGAGAGCUACUGUCCCCAGGCAAAGCGAGGACUCUUUGAGUCGUUCGCCAGUCGAAGCGGUCCGUCGGUGACUCCGGAAGGACGUCAGGCCAUUCAUCAGCCAGUGGCCUCCGGUGACUGUCGACACAUCAACUGCUGACCCCCCCAACUUCCCCCUUACUCCCCCUGACCCGGACCUACCCUUCAAAGAGGACCUCCAUGAAGACUGGCUUUUGGACUGUUUACUGGGGCCGAGGUCUGCGCCACUACCACCCGAGAGUUUUAUUUCGCUCUUUCCUUCACUCUUUCUCUCCGUCUUUUCUUCUGUUCUUCCACCAUUCAUUCCCUCAGAAUCUCCCUCUGUUCUUUCCUUGGGGGUUGAUCCAGGGCGGUCAGUGUCAAGAGAGGACACUGCGGAGGUCGGGAGGGGUUGAAGUGGAUCCUGACUUGGAGUGUUAGGGGUCUGUUCCAGGGAUGGAUAGUCCUUGGCGGGGUUGGGGGGCAGGAUGUCCUCCUGUGAGAGCCAUUCCACCCUACAGCGCUGAAUCGGGGGGACCCGGGGAUAGGGAGUUGGAGAAGGGGCAGAUUGGUCCUCCCUGGGAGUCUCUGCCUGCCCCUGGUACAGACGAGAGUGUUCACUGAUCAGUACAGUCAUCAGGUGCUGCACCUGGGAACUACCUGCAGAAUGCAAUAAAAAGCUAAUCGUUAGUUAGAGGAUUUGUAUGUACCCCUUUUCCAGUGUGGGAUUCUAGCUUGAAAUAUAUAUUUGAUCAUGUUUCCAUACUAGAACGUAAUGAUUACUUUACAUGUAUAAGGAAUGUACUGUACAUGUUGGGGUCAAUGGAGGGGGGAUAAGAACUAGGUGUAUGGAAAGUUACUGAGUGAGGAGGGGGGAGUGCAGAAAGUUUACAUUCUGUCAAAACAUACUAUUGUUCAAUCUCAUGGCUCCUAAGGAGGGAGGCAAAGGGUUUCAGUCACUGAUCAAUUAGGACAGCUGUGGAUUAGGGAGGAGCAAGGAAUUCGGCCCGAGGUCAGGUCAGAUGAAGUGAGAAGGAAUAGUCCUAUCCCACAUGAAUAUAUUUCCGUGCCCACGAAGGUUCUAGCAUGAGGCAGGGCCAUGACUACACCAUUGAGAGGAACCAGUUAAAUUCCUGACUAGCAACAAAGUAUUUAUUGGCUGUCGAGAUGUGCAAGGAGUUGAAUAUUCCUAGUAGGAGGGUAUAAAUAUAUGUGCUUGUGUAAACAAGCACAUGUAGCUGUUUGACGCAGUGGAGGAAUAAACUUGAUUUCAGCUUUUCCAAGUUGUUGUCCAGCCUAAUCCCACAGAUUAUAGCAAAAAAAGUAGCAGGGCUGCUGUUUAGCUGAGAAAUACAUGACAUAUAUUGGCUUUAAACUCUUUAAACAAUGCAUACCUUCUCACUGAUAUUGUAAAAAUAAAAGUUUCAACUUGAGCAAAUCCCCUCUAUGUAAAAUGUUGCGGUUAGUUUGCUCAUAGCACGUGUCAUCACAGAGAAAAAUGUGCUGGUAUCUACCCUCCAUCAUGAUUUGU
Molecule: long non-coding RNA, 1811 nt
Organism: Oncorhynchus kisutch (coho salmon)
Lineage: Eukaryota; Metazoa; Chordata; Actinopteri; Salmoniformes; Salmonidae
Exons: 4
Source: RefSeq, a predicted model, not a curated record